CACGGAGCUGCUUGUGAUGGAGGUGGAAGAAGUGAUGGAGGAGGAAGUGGUGAUGGUCAGGAGGAGGAGGUGGUGAUGGUCAGGAGGAGGAGGUGGUGAUGGUCAGGAGGAGGAGGAGGUGGUGAUGAAGGAGGAGGAGGUGGUGAUGGUCAGGAGGAGGAGGAGGUGGUGAUGAAGGAGGAGGAGGUGGUGAUGGUCAGGAGGAGGAGGAGGUGGUGAUGGUCAGGAGGAGGAGGUGGUGAUGAAGGAGGAGGAGGUGGUGAUGGAGGAGGUGGUGAUGGUCAGGAGGAGGAGGAGGUGAUGGAGGAGGAGGUGGUGAUGGUAAAGAGGAGGAGGUGGUGAUGGAGUAGGUGGUUAUGGAG
Ictalurus punctatus (channel catfish) is the source of this 362-nucleotide long non-coding RNA. The record is from Ensembl. NCBI's taxonomy places the organism in Eukaryota, Metazoa, Chordata, Actinopteri, Siluriformes, Ictaluridae.